RNAcentral lists this ribosomal RNA (425 nucleotides) under uncultured bacterium. Its description in RNAcentral is "partial 16S ribosomal RNA". It matches the Rfam family "Bacterial small subunit ribosomal RNA", at positions 354 to 796 of the family's 1533-position model. The record is from RNAcentral.
GUGGGGAAUAUUGGACAAUGGGCGAAAGCCUGAUCCAGCAAUGCCGCGUGAGUGAUGAAGGCCCUAGGGUUGUAAAGCUCUUUCACCGGUGAAGAUAAUGACGGUAACCGGAGAAGAAGCCCCGGCUAACUUCGUGCCAGCAGCCGCGGUAAUACGAAGGGGGCUAGCGUUGUUCGGAAUUACUGGGCGUAAAGCGCACGUAGGCGGAUAUUUAAGUUAGGGGUGAAAUCCCAGGGCUCAACCCUGGAACUGCCUCUAAUACUGGGUAUCUCGAGUCCGAGAGAGGUGAGUGGAAUUCCGAGUGUAGAGGUGAAAUUCGUAGAUAUUCGGAGGAACACCAGUGGCGAAGGCGGCUCACUGGCUCGGUACUGACGCUGAGGUGCGAAAGCGUGGGGAGCAAACAGGAUUAGAAACCCGUGUAGUCC